RNAcentral lists this ribosomal RNA (254 nucleotides) under uncultured bacterium. RNAcentral describes it as "partial 16S ribosomal RNA". It matches the Rfam family "Bacterial small subunit ribosomal RNA", at positions 524 to 777 of the family's 1533-position model. The record is from RNAcentral.
GACAGAGGGUGCUAGCGUUGUUCGGAAUUACUGGGCGUAAAGGGCGCGUAGGCGGCUCGUUUAGUCGGGUGUGAAAUCCCUCGGCUCAACUGAGGAACUGCCUUUGAAACUGUACGGCUUGAGGCCGGGAGGGGGUAGCGGAAUUCCCAGUGUAGCGGUGAAAUGCGUAGAUACUGGGAGGAACACCAGUGGCGAAGGCGGCUACCUGGACCGGUUCUGACGCUGAGGCGCGAAAGCGUGGGUAGCAAACAGGA